This 363-nucleotide transfer-messenger RNA is filed under the name Escherichia coli. RNAcentral describes it as "Standard tmRNA". It matches the Rfam family "transfer-messenger RNA". Rfam says of the family: Bacterial tmRNA, also known as 10Sa RNA or SsrA, is named for its dual tRNA and mRNA-like properties. RNAcentral also lists the same sequence under 1 other name. The record is from RNAcentral. Lineage: Bacteria; Pseudomonadati; Pseudomonadota; Gammaproteobacteria; Enterobacterales; Enterobacteriaceae.
GGGGCUGAUUCUGGAUUCGACGGGAUUUGCGAAACCCAAGGUGCAUGCCGAGGAGCGGUUGGCCUCGUAAAAAGCCGCAAAAAAUAGUCGCAAACGACGAAAACUACGCUUUAGCAGCUUAAUAACCUGCUUAGAGCCCUCUCUCCCUAGCCUCCGCUCUUAGGACGGGGAUCAAGAGAGGUCAAACCCAAAAGAGAUCGCGUGGAAGCCCUGCCUGGGGUUGAAGCGUUAAAACUUAAUCAGGCUAGUUUGUUAGUGGCGUGUCCGUCCGCAGCUGGCAAGCGAAUGUAAAGACUGACUAAGCAUGUAGUACCGAGGAUGUAGGAAUUUCGGACGCGGGUUCAACUCCCGCCAGCUCCACCA